AAUGAAUCCAGUGCCUCAGUUAUAUCCCGGGGAGCCUAGCAGAAAAGUGCAUCAGGAAGAAACUCUUCAGAUUCACACCAAGGAGUGGCAAGAAUGCUUGGUCUUCAAGAAAUUGUCAUCAGUUAUAGGAAGAACUUCCAGAAACAACGGCUGAAGGCAAUGGCAACCACGAAGCAGCUGAAGGAUUCUCUCUACUGGUUUUAUUAUCAAUUCAUGCUUAUUUCCUGUUGUGUUGAUAUGGAGCCCUGGGAACAAAUACUUGCACAUAUUUUUAUAGCGUCUCUAGCUACCAUGUUAAUGUUUACGGCUUAUAUGUUCAUCCUGAAUAAUCUAUGCUCGGCUUUUCAGUUCUUUUUGCAUUUAUGAGUUGAGGAGCCAAAGAAGUCAUGACUGAGAUAGUUGUUAUGACCCUGGGUAUAUAUAUUUAUGACUUAUUUUGUGUCUCUUUAUGUCAGUGGUUCCCAACCUUUAGUCCUCCAGGUGUUUUGGACUUCAGCUCCCACAAUUCCU
Anolis sagrei ordinatus is the source of this 510-nucleotide long non-coding RNA. RefSeq lists it as uncharacterized. NCBI's taxonomy places the organism in Eukaryota, Metazoa, Chordata, Lepidosauria, Squamata, Anolidae. The record is from RefSeq and is a predicted model, not a curated record.